CGUAGGUGAACCUGCGGAAGGAUCAUUAUUGAAUUAAUAAAAGUGGGCUUUCUUUUAGUUGGCUGAUGCUGAUGUUUCCGUCAAACGAAACAUAUCUUUGUGCUCGCCGACGGAGGGGUUCAUUUUUUAUUACCUUCUUUUCCACCUGUGAACUUUUGUAGAUGUUGAAGAUCGCCUCUCAAGCAAUUCGUAAGAAUUGAUUGGUUUGGAGUUUGCGGGCGUCAUUAAGUUGAUGUCAGCUUUCUCUGUUGGUCUUCACGUCUAUUUUACAUAUACCCUUAUUUCAGUUUAGAAGGACAUGAUUGGGCUUUUAUGCCUAUAAAUCAAUUAUACAACUUUCAGCAACGGAUCUCUUGGCUCUCGCAUCGAUGAAGAACGCAGCGAAUUGCGAUAAGUAAUGUGAAUUGCAGAAUUCAGUGAAUCAUCGAAUCUUUGAACGCACCUUGCGCUCUUUGGUAUUCCGAAGAGCAUGCCUGUUUGAGUGUCAUUAAAUUCUCAACCCAUUUCAUUUGUUUAUCAAGUGAAGUGUGUGUUGGAUGUGGGGGUUGCGGGCUUUCAUUCAGUUGAAGUCGGCUCUCCUGAAAUGCAUUAGCGGAAACCUUUGUUGGACCGCUUCUAUUGGGUGUGAUAAUUAUCUACGCCUAGGAAGCGCGAAAGCACUUGGGUUCAAUUUUGAACCGGGGUUUUGCUUCUAAUCGUCCAUUCACUUGGACAAUUUACUUUGACAUUUGACCUCAAAUCAGGUAGGA
RNAcentral lists this ribosomal RNA (749 nucleotides) under Cyathus olla. Its description in RNAcentral is "eukaryotic LSU rRNA". The stretch from base 334 to 487 matches the Rfam family "5.8S ribosomal RNA". Lineage: Eukaryota; Fungi; Basidiomycota; Agaricomycetes; Agaricales; Nidulariaceae. The record is from RNAcentral.